AACGCACAUUGCGCCCCUUGGUAUUCCAUGGGGCAUGCCUGUUCGAGCGUCAUUUGUACCUUCAAGCUCUGCUUGGUGUUGGGUGUUUGUCUCGCCUUUGCGUGUAGACUCGCCUCAAAUUGAUUGGCAGCCGCAUCCCCCCGCCGCGAGCGCAGCACAGUCGCGCUUACGACGUGGGUGGGUCGGCGAUCCAGAAGCCUAUUUCAACGUCUUGACCUCGGAUCAGGUAGGGAUACCCGCUGAACUUAA
RNAcentral lists this unclassified non-coding RNA (249 nucleotides) under uncultured Pleosporales. RNAcentral's name for it is "sequence contains ITS2". The record is from RNAcentral. Lineage: Eukaryota; Fungi; Ascomycota; Dothideomycetes; Pleosporales.